Regulatory RNA element from Actinosynnema mirum DSM 43827, 65 nucleotides. It matches the Rfam family "Actino-pnp RNA". The record is from Rfam. Lineage: Bacteria; Bacillati; Actinomycetota; Actinomycetes; Pseudonocardiales; Pseudonocardiaceae.
GCCGGUCCUCGGUAGUGGCCCCCUGGGAGCAGGAUGCGACCAGGGGACUUCGAUCGAAGACCGGC